UACGAAGGGGGCUAGCGUUGUUCGGAAUUACUGGGCGUAAAGCGUGCGCAGGCGGCUUCUCAAGUCAGGGGUGAAAGCCCAGAGCUCAACUCUGGAAUUGCCUUUGAGACUGAGAGGCUUGAGUACGGGAGAGGUGAGUGGAAUUCCCAGUGUAGCGGUGAAAUGCGUAGAUAUUGGGAGGAACACCAGUGGCGAAGGCGGCUCACUGGACCGGAACUGACGCUGAGGCGCGAAAGCGUGGGUAGCAAACAGG
Molecule: ribosomal RNA, 253 nt
Filed under: uncultured bacterium
Lineage: Bacteria
Description: partial 16S ribosomal RNA
Rfam family: Bacterial small subunit ribosomal RNA
Source: RNAcentral